GGUUGUGGCUAAGAGGUAGAGUGCUUGGCUAGCACAUGUGAGGCCCUGGGUUCGAUCCUCAGGACUA
This 67-nucleotide transfer RNA is filed under the name Marmota monax (woodchuck). RNAcentral's name for it is "tRNA.Ala". The record is from RNAcentral. Lineage: Eukaryota; Metazoa; Chordata; Mammalia; Rodentia; Sciuridae.